GGGAACAGGAAUCCCAGUGGAAUGACUCAGAGAGAAAGGGCAGCAAGAGAGGAAGACCAGGAGGUCGGAGACCUUGCUUCUGAUGUCUUUUCUAUUUCUUUCACUCCAAAGCAUGUGAAGUUACCAUACUAAGAGGUGUAUUUUGAGCCCUAACAAUGUGAAUGUCAGCACUGUGGGAGUGCAGCUAUGACAAGGAUUGCAAGAUGGAACAUCACACAAGAACAAGGGAAACACCAGAGCAAUGACAAGUGGGGGCCGUUGCAUAUCCACAGAAAUAAAAACAAAAAAGAAGAAGAAUAGCUUCUAUCUGCCACCAGCCAGGUUCACCACCACUGAAGUUGCCACUCCGGGCCACACCACCAGCCAACAAGAUGAGAGGAGUGCGCGCACUUUGCCAGGCCUGGAUCUGUGACAACAGUUUCCAUCUCUUCCCAUUGCCGAAGCCCUGAACAACAAAGGAAAAACAUUCUAAGAGCCCAUGAAAUGUUUUUAUUGAAACCCUGAUCUCCAGAGAGAGAGAGAGAGAUUGAGGAAGCGAUUUAAGCAACCUUAUUACAAAAUAAAAAGUAUCCUCCUACUCCAUGACCGGAAAUGCCGGAAAGAAGAGACAAGCCCAUAAAAAAAAAGUACUAAAAAAAGUUUUUCAAAAAACCGGAACAAAGAGGAGAC
This 669-nucleotide long non-coding RNA is filed under the name Fukomys damarensis (Damara mole-rat). Its description in RNAcentral is "lncRNA (ENSFDAG00000024325.1)". Lineage: Eukaryota; Metazoa; Chordata; Mammalia; Rodentia; Bathyergidae. The record is from RNAcentral.